AACGCGAAGAACCUUACCUGCCCUUGACAUCCUCGGAACUUGUCAGAGAUGACUUGGCGCCUUCGGGAACCGAGUGACAGGUGCUGCAUGGCUGUCGUCAGCUCGUGUCGUGAGAUGUUGGGUUAAGUCCCGCAACGAGCGCAACCCUUGUCCCUAGUUGCCAGCGGUUCGGCCGGGAACUCUAGGGAGACUGCCAGCGACAAGCUGGAGGAAGGCGGGGACGACGUCAAGUCAUCAUGGCCCUUAUGGGCAGGGCUACACACGUGCUACAAUGGCCGGUACAGGGGGUUGCCAACCCGCAAGGGGGAGCCAAUCCCAGAAAGCCGGUCGUAGUCCGGAUCGGAGUCUGCAACUCGACUCCGCGAAGUCGGAAUCGCUAGUAAUCGCGAAUCAGCAUUGUCGCGGUGAAUACGUUCCCGGGUCUUGUACACACGC
RNAcentral lists this ribosomal RNA (435 nucleotides) under uncultured bacterium. RNAcentral describes it as "bacterial SSU rRNA". It matches the Rfam family "Bacterial small subunit ribosomal RNA", at positions 958 to 1393 of the family's 1533-position model. The record is from RNAcentral.